RNAcentral lists this ribosomal RNA (406 nucleotides) under uncultured bacterium. RNAcentral's name for it is "partial 16S ribosomal RNA". It matches the Rfam family "Bacterial small subunit ribosomal RNA", at positions 30 to 526 of the family's 1533-position model. The record is from RNAcentral.
AUUGAACGCUGGCGGCAGGCCUAACACAUGCAAGUCGAGCGAGCGGCGGACGGGUGAGUAAUGUCUGGGAAACUGCCUGAUGGAGGGGGAUAACUACUGGAAACGGUAGCUAAUACCGCAUACUAUCAGAUGAGCCUAGGUCGGAUUAGCUAGUUGGUGGGGUAAAGGCCUACCAAGGCGACGAUCCGUAACUGGUCUGAGAGGAUGAUCAGUCACACUGGAACUGAGACACGGUCCAGACUCCUACGGGAGGCAGCAGUGGGGAAUAUUGCACAAUGGGCGCAAGCCUGAUGCAGCCAUGCCGCGUGUGUGAAGAAGGCCUUCGGGUUGUAAAGCACUUUCAGCGGGGAGGCGUUACCCGCAGAAGAAGCACCGGCUAACUCCGUGCCAGCCGCCGCGGUAAUAC